UAUAUGCCUAAAUGAGGCCGUAGCACAGUUAACGGACGAGCAGAGGUGGUGACGUCAUCGAGUCCGCUGCUGUUCCAAUUGCAGGUACGUACUCGCGUGCUCGCAAGUCUGUGCUUGAAGUACGGACUUGCCAAGUACGUACUUGCAAGUCAUCGAGUCCGUAGUACGCGUGCUAGGAAUUGAGAAACGGCCUUACACACCGCUAAAUCGGAAACCAAAGAUGAACCAUGGAAAGAUCUCGCAGAGCAGCUUGUUCCAGGAACUUGGUUGGAGAAAACUGGACAUGAUAUCGAGGUACAUGCCUUUUUUCUCGUCUAACUUUUAAGGAAUAAAUCGUUUUUAUAUGUGUUUCUAAUGUUAUGUUUUACCUUCAUGGUUCAGGGACUUCCACCACAGGAAUAUGGGAACGACUGUGGGAUCUUCAUGAUUAUGUACGCUUGGUACCUUGCCAUGGAGGCACCAUUUGACUUCACUGUUAAAGACAUGCCAGUCCUCAGAAAAUGGUGGUGCACAGUACAGCUUGAGAACUUCCACCUGGAUGGGCACGGUAGAAGGUUCGCACACUUCACGGAGGAGGCCAAACAAAUGGCGGUUGGACUACUUCCACCAGUCUUCAGACUGAAGCGAAAAAGAGAAUGAGUUGGAGCUGAUGGCAGCAUGAAGAACCUAUAUCUUUAAGAUUCUGUAGAUUAUGUGUUGAAUAAAUUGUGAGGAAA
Molecule: long non-coding RNA, 716 nt
Filed under: Gadus morhua (Atlantic cod)
Lineage: Eukaryota; Metazoa; Chordata; Actinopteri; Gadiformes; Gadidae
Description: lncRNA (ENSGMOG00000025737.1)
Source: RNAcentral